Molecule: ribosomal RNA, 518 nt
Filed under: uncultured bacterium
Lineage: Bacteria
Description: bacterial SSU rRNA
Rfam family: Bacterial small subunit ribosomal RNA
Source: RNAcentral
GACGAACGCUGGCGGCGUGCCUAAUACAUGCAAGUCGAGCGGACCAAAGGGAGCUUGCUCCUGGAGGUUAGCGGCGAACGGGUGAGUAACACGUGGGCAACCUGCCUGUAAGACUGGGAUAACAUCGAGAAAUCGGUGCUAAUACCGGAUAAUAAAAAGAACUGCAUGGUUCUUUUUGAAAGAUGGUUUCGGCUAUCACUUACAGAUGGGCCCGCGGCGCAUUAGCUAGUUGGUGAGGUAACGGCUCACCAAGGCGACGAUGCGUAGCCGACCUGAGAGGGUGAUCGGCCACACUGGGACUGAGACACGGCCCAGACUCCUACGGGAGGCAGCAGUAGGGAAUCUUCCGCAAUGGACGAAAGUCUGACGGAGCAACGCCGCGUGAGUGAUGAAGGUUUUCGGAUCGUAAAACUCCGUUGUUAGGGAAGAACAAGUGCCGUUCGAAAGGGCGGCACCUUGACGGUACCUAACGAGAAAGCCACGGCUAACUACGUGCCAGCAGCCGCGGUAAAGUACAG